This 253-nucleotide ribosomal RNA is filed under the name uncultured bacterium. Its description in RNAcentral is "partial 16S ribosomal RNA". It matches the Rfam family "Bacterial small subunit ribosomal RNA", at positions 524 to 776 of the family's 1533-position model. The record is from RNAcentral.
UACGUAGGGGGCUAGCGUUGUCCGGAAUCAUUGGGCGUAAAGAGCGUGUAGGCGGCCCGGUAAGUCCGCUGUAAAAGUCAAAGGCUCAACCUUUGAAUGUCAGUGGAUACUGCCGGGCUAGAGUCCGGAAGAGGCGAGUGGAACUCCUGGUGUAGCGGUGGAAUGCGUAGAGAUCCGGAAGAACACCGGUGGCGAAGGCGGCCUGCUGGGCAGUUGCUGACACUGAGGCGCGACAGCGUGGGGAGCAAACAGG